AGGUUGCUCAUUCACCAAAUGCGGUAGCAGCUUCCUGGCGCUGUGGCAGAACACCGACGACAAACAACGUGAAGACCAAAAGGCUACUUUGGCUCCGUACUUCAGAGGGUUCAGCUCCACUGCUUUUAGGCUCUGGUGAGGCGGUCUGUCACGACAGAAGAGCUUGGUGUCUCACUCCUGCAAGCUUGUCACCAUGGAAAUGAGUCUAUGCCGCUGAAGAUGAGCAAGAGUCCACUUACAGUAUGAGCAUUUCUCUCAGCUCUGGAGUGCGGAGAUGGGGUGCACAGCUGCUUCAAGUACCCCAGGAUGAGGACUCUGGGACAGCAUUGUCUCUGUGGAUUCCUUCUUUUUUUAAAAAAAAACUUUAUCAGCAUAUAUUAAUCAUGUAUACUAAUGGGUUUCAUGAUGGCAUUUUAUACACGUACAUAAUGGAUUCUGAACCUGUGUUCUCUCUCUUGUUCCCAUCCCUCCCUGUUGAUCUCCUGCCUUUUCCUAACCGUGCCCCUUUCUACUUUCAUGUAUUUCUGACCCAAUUAAUUUGAUUAAUGUUGUUUACAAGAACAUGGGUGAGGAGUUAUUUUCUGAAGGCAUGGACAUAUUAUCAAUGGUUAACCCACUGGAGAAAAUUUCUCCCCUCCGCCAGCAUUCAUUACUUCUCCGUAGGUACUUAGGGAGGAGUAGUUGCGAGUUCUGCCCACUUAACCAUUGGUAACUGUUCAUACAUCUAUAGGGAAAGCUGGAGAAUUGUGAUCCCCUUCUACCCCACCCCCAUGGAGUAUUGAUGGGAGUGUGUAAUGCUUUGAGUAAGAAUGGCCUUCAUAGGUUCAUGUGUUUGAAUAUUCGCUCCUCUGUUGGUGGUACUGUUUGGUAAGGAUUAGGAGGUGUGGCUUUGUUGGAGGAGGUAUGUCAUUAGUGAGAAUAUUGAGGUCUCAAAAGACACACCAUUCUCAAUUUCUCUCUACCUUACGGUUGUGUUUGAAAAUGUAAGCUCUCAGCUACUGCUCCAGCACCAUGCCUCCCCACCUGCUACCAUGCCCCCACCAUGGUGGUCAUGUACUUCAACUCUCUGAGACUAUGCCCCAAAUAAACUUUCCUCUGUAAA
Molecule: non-coding RNA, 1102 nt
Organism: Myodes glareolus (Bank vole)
Lineage: Eukaryota; Metazoa; Chordata; Mammalia; Rodentia; Cricetidae
Source: RefSeq, a predicted model, not a curated record